CGGCAACAGCUCAAAUUUGAAAUCUGGCGCAAGCCCGAGUUGUAAUUUGUAGAGGAUGUUUCGGGUAAGAUCCAGGUCUAAGUUCCUUGGAACAGGACGUCAUAGAGGGUGAGAAUCCCGUACGUGACCAUGGAUCGCACCCGUGUGAAACUCCUUCGAC
RNAcentral lists this ribosomal RNA (160 nucleotides) under Umbilicaria sp. RNAcentral describes it as "partial large subunit ribosomal RNA". It matches the Rfam family "Eukaryotic large subunit ribosomal RNA", at positions 99 to 261 of the family's 3401-position model. The record is from RNAcentral. Lineage: Eukaryota; Fungi; Ascomycota; Lecanoromycetes; Umbilicariales; Umbilicariaceae.